Molecule: long non-coding RNA, 2123 nt
Organism: Gallus gallus (chicken)
Lineage: Eukaryota; Metazoa; Chordata; Aves; Galliformes; Phasianidae
Source: Ensembl
AUAACCGGCUAGAACUAGGUAGCAAAAUAAUGUGACGACGCACCUGUUGCUUUGAGAAAAAUACCAUACAGUUGACACAUAGUCACAGCUUUUCUUCACCGUACAAAACCUGAGUCAGAUGGAUGAAGGAGGGAAGAGAGUAGAAAUGCUGAGAGCAGAUAUGUUAAAAAAAAAAAUUCUUCUUUUAAAAUUGACUACUCUUUUAAUCUCUGAAAGCUUUUCCGUUUUGUUCCUCAUGAAUAGAUAUGUUUUCUGAUCUCAUCACCUUUCCAUGUCAGUGGAAACUACAAUCGAAGAGACAAAGGACUCAGUAAAUCUUGAUCAUGUGACUUGUAGAAAUUAUCUUAUGUGACCUUCUCAAUCUUUUUUGUGAUGUUUUGUGGUUGCAGUCUUCUCUAAGCCCACAGGCUCAAACUUUGUGUGUUUGACCACAUGGCCCAUUGCAUGCUACUCAACAGAAUGGAUUGUUAUGGGCUUUUCAUCUUCUCCCCAGAUCCAAAUCCAAUGUAGACCGAAUGGAUAACAAUCUUCUCUAAAAGCUCUCUGAGGUCAUCUUUUGUCUACCUCAGUGUGGAAAUAAUUACAUUGAACUCAACAGCUUCCACUGACCUUUGUCUUUAGCAGUGCAAAGACCCAAGCACCUCCAGGCGAUGACCACUGCAGUGUAAGGAUCUUACAAAAGUAACCUUCAAGAAAUAGUUAUUUUUUGUAUCUGCAGUGCCUACAUACAGGCAUUUCACAGAAGACUCAUCCCUUUCCUCAGGGUUUACAAUUCUCUUAAUCUUUGGCUUAUCAAGGAUAACUCGCCAUAAAGAUAGGAGGGAGAGAUAGCUUGCUGUGUAAUGAAAAAAAUCAGUACACAAGUCAGACAUGUUCUGCUCAUACAUUUAUCCCUACUGCUAUACAGUCUGAAGCUGGCUGACUGCAAAUUGAGUAUAGUGAAACUCUGUUGGUAAAUAUAUUGAAGUAUACAGUCUAUCAAGUUUUGUUUGUAUACAGAUUGUUGCAUAGUGCUAGUUGUGCUGUUUAGGCUCAAAUCUGUAAAAAUCUUUUUGUUUUGUGGAUAUCUGUAAUGAAUAUUUUUUUUUCUUAGAAAUAUAAAUCACAAAACAGAUUAAUUAGGAACCACCUCCAAUGACAGGAGCCCUCGGUCGAGGAGGACCUUGCCUUGUAGUCUGGCCAUACAUGAGUUAUAUGCUGAUAAAAAAUAUGAGGGACUGCAGAGUAGAUCACUAUAGUUUCAUUAAUCAAUAUGGAUAUCAAUUCUUUAUGAAUUCUUUAUGAAUUCUUUCAUGUUUUAGCAUGAGAAUUGAUAGAGAACUCUACAAAUUAUUUUAUUCUUCUGAGGUUAUUUCUGUUCACCCUGGUUUAAGAUAAGACAACUGCAAUAUUUGUGGCUAUGUCACUGCAGAACUCAUCACUGACUACACCACUGCUCUCUUUUUAAGACUUAGAUGUUUUAAAUAUAAUAUCCAAAUAUGUUUGCCAUUCUGUUUCUCUCUGUUCCUCAUCCCUCUGGUCAAGGAAAAUAUAUACCAGAUAGAAAAGUUGUAAAGCUGUAAAGGACUGUACGCUACUAAAGAGAGAAGAUGGCGUCUGUCUUUUUGGUAUUCUUACUUAAACAAUAUCAACAUCUGUCUUCCUGUCUGCCAUGAAUUGUUAAUUAAGUUUAAAGUCUUGCUGUGAUAACUUGAUUUGAAAUCUUUCUAUAUUUUGGCCCUGGCUGUGAUCUGAAGCUCUGAAUUCUUUAGAUUAGUAAAAUCCAGAGGUGGAGUGCAUGCAGAGACAACAUCUGUUAGAACUGAUGUCGUCUUUUAAAGGGUAAUCUCUUAUGCAUGGAGCUGAGUGGGGCUGUAUUUCACUGCAUUCCUUGCUGUGCUUGCUGAUCAUGUAGUCAUACCUCAAGCUAACUUUAAAUAUCUCAUUUGGAUAGAGCUGCCAGCAAAGCAGAAGACACUUGGGCUUCAGUGCAGACUAAGUUGUCUGUUUUUUCCCAGUUGCUGCGUAGAUUUUGUUAUCAAGAAGGAUGAUUUUAAGUCAAAGUUGAGCGCGUUGCUAUAGGUUUCAGUUAUGGCUAAGACCACUGCGGAGAUGAAUUCUGACUAGUACUAAGGUCAAUAAAA